Leptopilina boulardi is the source of this 733-nucleotide long non-coding RNA. RefSeq lists it as uncharacterized. The record is from RefSeq and is a predicted model, not a curated record. The transcript has 3 exons. Lineage: Eukaryota; Metazoa; Arthropoda; Insecta; Hymenoptera; Figitidae.
CGUGAGUAUAUAAAGACAAGUAAAUGUUUUUUUUCUCAAUAUUCUGCUUUUGAAGUUACAUUAUAAAUAAAUCAACAAUGAAAGUUUAUUCAACACUUUUUGUGGCAACAAUUUUACUUGUUUGCUGGGCAAUUAUGGGAGAGGCAGCUGCUCCUCUAGCUCCAAUAAGCAGAGAGAAACGUGCUCCAUCAUGAUUGAUGUCUCUUAGAAAAUUUAGCAAGUUUUAAAUUAAAUGUAAAUCCAACACUAAGUUACUUCAUUGUAUAAUAAUAUCGAAAAAUAUGAUAAAUAAACUGCUGAAUUGAUUGUAUUUUAUAAUUUUAUUUUUAAUUUAAUUUAAUGAUUAAAAUUUUACUUUAAUUGAAACAAUAUAUUAUUUUAUAUAAACAGAGGCCUGAUAUAAUUUGAAAACGAUUAUUUUUCCAAAUAGAUUUAUUUAUUUUUCAACUUGAUAAAAAGUUUCCUUAAAACGUUUAAAAUAAUUUGUUUUAAAUUAUUCUUUUAUCAUUAAACAAUAAUGAAACAAAACCAAGGUUGUAGUUAUUUAAAUUAUUAAAAGUAUAAAAAGCUAAGAACAAUUUUUUUUCAAUAUUUAACAAAAAAUUUUAAGUUACCUUAAAUAAAUCAACAAUGAAAGUUUAUUCAACACUUUUUGUGGUAACAAUUUUACUUGUUUGCUGGGCAAUUGUGGGAGAAGCCAUUCCUUGGGCUCCAUUACAAAGAAGAAAACGUA